RNAcentral lists this ribosomal RNA (669 nucleotides) under uncultured fungus. RNAcentral's name for it is "eukaryotic LSU rRNA". The stretch from base 254 to 408 matches the Rfam family "5.8S ribosomal RNA". The record is from RNAcentral. Lineage: Eukaryota; Fungi.
UCUUGGUCAUUUAGAGGAGUAAAGUCGUAACAAGGUUUCCGUAGGUGAACCUGCGGAAGGAUCAUUAUCGAAUCGUAGGCGAGGGUUGUCGCUGGCCUCUCGGGGCAUGUGCACGCCCGAGCCCUUGAAUCCCAAACACCACAUGUGAACCCACCGUAGGCCUUCGGGCCUAUGUCUUAUCAUAUAAUCUGAAUGUCUAAUAGAAUGUAAACCCAUUUCGUUGCCUUGAAAACGUAACGAAAGAAAACUAUACAACUUUCAACAACGGAUCUCUUGGCUCUCGCAUCGAUGAAGAACGCAGCGAAAUGCGAUAAGUAAUGUGAAUUGCAGAUUUUCAGUGAAUCAUCGAAUCUUUGAACGCACCUUGCGCCCCUUGGUAUUCCGAGGGGCAUGCCUGUUUGAGUGUCAUUAAAUCCUCAACCCCUCCGAUUCGUUUCGGUGGGGAUUGGACUUGGAGCGUGCUGGCGAAGGUCGGCUCCUCUUUAAAUGCAUCAGCGGAGAAAAUGCCUUUUGCGCCUCUGGCCGUUCAGCGUGAUAAUGAUGUUGCGCUGCGGUCGAGCUUAAGGUCCGCUUCCAAAGGUCCUCGGACAAAUAUACAUAUGACUUUUGACCUCAAAUCACGUAGGACUACCCGCUGAACUUAAGCAUAUCAAUAAGCGGAGGAAAGGG